RNAcentral lists this ribosomal RNA (505 nucleotides) under uncultured bacterium. RNAcentral describes it as "partial 16S ribosomal RNA". It matches the Rfam family "Bacterial small subunit ribosomal RNA", at positions 28 to 507 of the family's 1533-position model. The record is from RNAcentral.
GACGAACGCUGGCGGCGUGCCUAAUACAUGCAAGUAGAACGCACAGUUUAUACCGUAGCUUGCUACACCAUAGACUGUGAGUUGCGAACGGGUGAGUAACGCGUAGGUAACCUGCCUGGUAGCGGGGGAUAACUAUUGGAAACGAUAGCUAAUACCGCAUAAUAUUGAUUAUUGCAUGAUAAUUGAUUGAAAGAUGCUAUUGCAUCACUACCAGAUGGACCUGCGUUGUAUUAGCUAGUAGGUGAGGUAACGGCUCACCUAGGCGACGAUACAUAGCCGACAUGAGAGGGUGAUCAGCCACACUGGGAGUGAGACACGGCACAGACGGCUACAGGAGGCAGCAGGAGGGAAACGUCGGCAAUGGACGAAAGACUGAGCGAGAAACGCCGCGGGAGGGAAGAGGGUUGUCGGAUCGUAAAGCUCUGUUGUAAGAGAAGAAAGGGUGUGAGAGUGGAAAGUUCACACUGUGACGGUAACGGACCAGAAAGGGACGGCUAACUACGUG